Molecule: ribosomal RNA, 536 nt
Filed under: uncultured bacterium
Lineage: Bacteria
Description: partial 16S ribosomal RNA
Rfam family: Bacterial small subunit ribosomal RNA
Source: RNAcentral
UGGGGAAUUUUGGACAAUGGGCGAAAGCCUGAUCCAGCAAUGCCGCGUGUGUGAAGAAGGCCUUCGGGUUGUAAAGCACUUUUGUCCGGAAAGAAAUCCUUGGCUCUAAUACAGUCGGGGGAUGACGGUACCGGAAGAAUAAGCACCGGCUAACUACGUGCCAGCAGCCGCGGUAAUACGUAGGGUGCAAGCGUUAAUCGGAAUUACUGGGCGUAAAGCGUGCGCAGGCGGUUUGCUAAGACCGAUGUGAAAUCCCCGGGCUCAACCUGGGAACUGCAUUGGUGACUGGCAGGCUAGAGUAUGGCAGAGGGGGGUAGAAUUCCACGUGUAGCAGUGAAAUGCGUAGAGAUGUGGAGGAAUACCGAUGGCGAAGGCAGCCCCCUGGGCCAAUACUGACGCUCAUGCACGAAAAGCGUGGGGGAGCAAAACAGGAUUAGAUACCCUGGUAGUCCACGCCCUAAACGAUGUCAACUAGUUGUUGGGGAUUCAUUUCCUUAGUAACGUAGCUAGCGCGUGAAGUUGACCGCCUGGGGAGU